CUUAACACAUGCAAGUCGAGGGGCAGCAUGGUCUUAGCUUGCUAAGGCCGAUGGCGACCGGCGCACGGGUGAGUAACACGUAUCCAACCUGCCGUCUACUCUUGGACAGCCUUCUGAAAGGAAGAUUAAUACAAGAUGGCAUCAUGAGUCCGCAUGUUCACAUGAUUAAAGGUAUUCCGGUAGACGAUGGGGAUGCGUUCCAUUAGAUAGUAGGCGGGGUAACGGCCCACCUAGUCUUCGAUGGAUAGGGGUUCUGAGAGGAAGAUCCCCCACAUUGGAACUGAGACACGGUCCAAACUCCUACGGGAGGCAGCAGUGAGGAAUAUUGGUCAAUGGGCGAGAGCCUGAACCAGCCAAGUAGCGUGAAGGAUGACUGCCCUAUGGGUUGUAAACUUCUUUUAUAAAGGAAUAAAGUCGGGUAUGGAUACCCGUUUGCAUGUACUUUAUGAAUAAGGAUCGGCUAACUCCGUGCCAGCAGCCGCGGUAAUACGGAGGAUCCGAGCGUUAUCCGGAUUUAUUGGGUUUAAAGGGAGCGUAGAUGGAUGUUUAAGUCAGUUGUGAAAGUUUGCGGCUCAACCGUAAAAUUGCAGUUGAUACUGGAUAUCUUGAGUGCAGUUGAGGCAGGCGGAAUUCGUGGUGUAGCGGUGAAAUGCUUAGAUAUCACGAAGAACUCCGAUUGCGAAGGCAGCCUGCUAAGCUGCAACUGACAUUGAGGCUCGAAAGUGUGGGUACCAAACAGGAUUAGAUACCCUGGUAGUCCACACGGUAAACGAUGAAUACUCGCUGUUUGCGAUAUACGGCAAGCGGCCAAGCGAAAGCGUUAAGUAUUCCACCUGGGGAGUACGCCGGCAACGGUGAAACUCAAAGGAAUUGGCGGGGGCCCGCACAAGCGGAGGAACAUGUGGUUUAAUUCGAUGAUACGCGAGGAACCUUACCCGGGCUUAAAUUGCAGAUGAAUUACGGUGAAAGCCGUAAGCCGCAAGGCAUCUGUGAAGGUGCUGCAUGGUUGUCGUCAGCUCGUGCCGUGAGGUGUCGGCUUAAGUGCCAUAACGAGCGCAACCCUUGUUGUCAGUUACUAACAGGUUCCGCUGAGGACUCUGACAAGACUGCCAUCGUAAGAUGUGAGGAAGGUGGGGAUGACGUCAAAUCAGCACGGCCCUUACGUCCGGGGCUACACACGUGUUACAAUGGGGGGUACAGAGGGCCGCUACCACGCGAGUGGAUGCCAAUCCCAAAAACCUCUCUCAGUUCGGACUGGAGUCUGCAACCCGACUCCACGAAGCUGGAUUCGCUAGUAAUCGCGCAUCAGCCACGGCGCGGUGAAUACGUUCCCGGGCCUUGUACACACCGCCCGUCAAGCCAUGGGAGCCGGGGGUACCUGAAGUGCGUAACCGCGAGGAGCGCCCUAGGGUAAAACUGGUGACUGGGGCUAAGA
RNAcentral lists this ribosomal RNA (1435 nucleotides) under uncultured organism. RNAcentral's name for it is "SSU rRNA". It matches the Rfam family "Bacterial small subunit ribosomal RNA". The record is from RNAcentral.